GGAGUCUGAGCCAGGACUUCAAUCCACUCUGGAGGCUCGCCUAACACAUGCCCCCCCCAGCAGAAAGUGGAACAGUCCAUGAGUACCCCGGCUUACGGGUGAGUAACACGUGGGUAAUCUACCUCUUUGUGUGGAAUAACCCUGGGAAGCCGGGGCUAAAACCCCAGAAGCUCCAAAGACGAGAGCACCAAUGCGCUAAUGGAGGACCCCCCACCCCAUUAUUUCCUUGGCAAGGUAAAACCCUACCAAGGCAAAGAUCGGUAGCCGGCCUGAGAGGGCACACGUGAACACUGGCACUGAAACACGGGCCAGACUCCUACGGGAGGCAGCAUUGGGGAAUCUUGUACAAUGGGGGAAACCCUGAUGCACCUUCCCCACGUGAGCGAUGAACCCCUCGGGGUGUAAAGCUCUUUCGGCCGGGAACAUUAUGACGGUACCUGCAAAAGCAGCUGCGGCUAAGUACGUGCCAGCAGCCGCGGUAAUACGUACGCCGCGAGCGUUGUUCGGAGUUACUGGGCGUAAAUGGUGUGUAGGCGGUCUUCUAAGUUUGGUGUGAAUUCUCCCGGCUCAACUGCGGAUCGUGCGCCGAACACUGAAAGACUAGAGUGCGGGACAUGAUAGUGGAAUUCCUGGUGUCACGCUGAAAUGCGUAGAUAUCAGGAGGAACACCGGUAGUGUAGACCGCUAUCUGGACYGYWACUGACKMUSAGACACKYAAGCGUSGGUAGCAAACMRGRUKAGAUMCCCUGGUAGUCCASKUCCUAAACGASKCAUAUYUGGUGUGGGCAGUUYAGUGAGUUUGUGCCGGAUCUAACGWRUUAAAUSUGCCCCGUCGGGAGUACAGUUGCAAGGCUGAGACUCAAGGGAUCACACGGGUCCCGCACAAGCGGUGGAGCAUGUGGUUCAAUUCGAAUUAACGCGAAGAACCUCACCUGGGCUCGAACGGCUGGUUAACGCCGGUAGAAACAUCGGUACUCUUCAAGGAGGUCCAGCAGAGAUGCGGCAUGGCGGUCGUCAGCUUGUGUUUUGAGACAAUAGGUUAAGUCAAGCAAAGAGCGCUACCCUUGUCCUGGGUAGCCAUCAUUCAGUUGGGCACUCGCAGGAGAAAACCAGCCAUAAGCUGGAGGAAGGUGGGGAUGACGUCAAGUCCUCAUGCCCUUUAUGUCCAGGUCUACACAGACCAUACAAUGAUCGGUACAAAGCGCCGCAAACCCUCGAGGGGGAGCCAAUCGCAAAAAACCGGUUUCAGUUGGGAUUGCAGGCUGCAACUCGCCUGCAUGAAGCUGGAAUCGCUAGUAAUGGCAGAUCAGCACGUUGCCGGGAAUUCGUUCCCGGGCGUUGUACACACCGCCCGUCACAUCACGAAAGUGGAUUGUACUAGAAGUUUGCACGCUGACCCGCAAGGGAGGCAGCGGCCCAAGGUAUGAUUCAUGAUUGGGGUGAAGUCCUAACAAGGUAACC
This 1461-nucleotide ribosomal RNA is filed under the name uncultured soil bacterium. Its description in RNAcentral is "partial 16S ribosomal RNA". It matches the Rfam family "Bacterial small subunit ribosomal RNA". The record is from RNAcentral.